RNAcentral lists this transfer RNA (110 nucleotides) under Phocaeicola dorei. RNAcentral describes it as "tRNA-OTHER". It matches the Rfam family "tRNA". Rfam says of the family: Transfer RNA (tRNA) molecules are approximately 80 nucleotides in length. Their secondary structure includes four short double-helical elements and three loops (D, anti-codon, and T loops). The record is from RNAcentral. Lineage: Bacteria; Pseudomonadati; Bacteroidota; Bacteroidia; Bacteroidales; Bacteroidaceae. RNAcentral also lists the same sequence under 2 other names.
GGGUAAUUAGCUUAAUGGAAAAGCGGUAUUCACUUUUUUCUUUACGUUCAGACGGUUUGUGAUUGUUUUCAGUAGGAAUACAGAUACAGGUUCGAAUCCUGUAUUACCCA